CCUACGGGGCGCAGCAGUCGGGAAUAUUGCGCAAUGGAGGAAACUCUGACGCAGUGACGCCGCGUAUAGGAAGAAGGUCUUCGGAUUGUAAACUAUUGUCGUUAGGGAAGAAAAAGGACAGUACCUAAGGAGGAAGCUCCGGCUAACUACGUGCCAGCAGCCGCGGUAAUACGUAGGGGGCAAGCGUUAUCCGGAUUUACUGGGUGUAAAGGGAGCGUAGACGGCAAUGCAAGUCUGGAGUGAAAGGCGGGGGCCCAACCCCCGGACUGCUCUGGAAACUGUAUAGCUGGGGGGCAGGAGGGGUA
Molecule: ribosomal RNA, 305 nt
Filed under: uncultured bacterium
Lineage: Bacteria
Description: bacterial SSU rRNA
Rfam family: Bacterial small subunit ribosomal RNA
Source: RNAcentral